This 81-nucleotide transfer RNA is filed under the name Gigaspora margarita. Its description in RNAcentral is "tRNA-Leu". It matches the Rfam family "tRNA". From Rfam's summary of the family: Transfer RNA (tRNA) molecules are approximately 80 nucleotides in length. Their secondary structure includes four short double-helical elements and three loops (D, anti-codon, and T loops). Further hydrogen bonds mediate the characteristic L-shaped molecular structure. tRNAs have two regions of fundamental functional importance: the anti-codon, which is responsible for specific mRNA codon recognition, and the 3' end, to which the tRNAs corresponding amino acid is attached (by aminoacyl-tRNA synthetases). tRNAs cope with the degeneracy of the genetic code in two manners: having more than one tRNA (with a specific anti-codon) for a particular amino acid; and 'wobble' base-pairing, i.e. permitting non-standard base-pairing at the 3rd anti-codon position. Lineage: Eukaryota; Fungi; Glomeromycota; Glomeromycetes; Diversisporales; Gigasporaceae. RNAcentral also lists the same sequence under 3 other names. The record is from RNAcentral.
GGUUACGUGAGGAAAAUGGUAGCCCUGCUGUUUUUAAACAACAGUGCCAAGUGCGUGUGGGUUCGAAUCCCACCGUAACCA